RNAcentral lists this ribosomal RNA (440 nucleotides) under uncultured bacterium. Its description in RNAcentral is "partial 16S ribosomal RNA". It matches the Rfam family "Bacterial small subunit ribosomal RNA", at positions 338 to 795 of the family's 1533-position model. The record is from RNAcentral.
CCUACGGGAGGCAGCAGUAGGGAAUAUUGCUCAAUGGGGGAAACCCUGAAGCAGCAACGCCGCGUGGAGGAUGAAGGUUUUAGGAUUGUAAACUCCUUUUGUGAGAGAAGAUAAUGACGGUAUCUCACGAAUAAGCACCGGCUAACUCCGUGCCAGCAGCCGCGGUAAUACGGAGGGUGCAAGCGUUACUCGGAAUCACUGGGCGUAAAGAGUGCGCAGGCGGGCUUGUAAGUCAGAUGUGAAAUCGUGUAGCUUAACUACAGAACUGCAUUUGAAACUAUGAGUCUAGAGUGUGGGAGAGGUAGGUGGAAUUCUUGGUGUAGGGGUAAAAUGCGUAGAUAGCAAGAGGAAUACUCAUUGCGAAGGCGACCUACUGGAACAUUACUGACGCUCAUGCACGAAAGCGUGGGGAGCAAACAGGAUUAGAUACCCCUGUAGUC